UGGCUGAAAGUUUGGGAAAAAAAUCAUCUAGUCCCUGUGAUCGCCGCGACACAGGGUUAUCGAUGGUUAUCGACAACCGAUUACGAGGCAUGGGAUAUAUUUACGAUCGAAAGACAAUCGAUUUGAAUCGAAAAAAAAGAGGAGCGCGCCCGUUCUUUAUCUUCUUCUCGGCGCCGCGCGGGCUGACCGCUUUGGUCACAAUUCGAUCGCAGAAAGUGGCUAGUUGCAUCGAAUUAAAAAAAAGGCCACUGCACUCUGCGGAUCUGCGACGCCACGAUUCACGAAACACGAAGCACCGGCUUCGUCGCGGCAUUUCCCCGGUAACCGCGUCGCCUCCGACGAGCGUAGGGCGACGUCGAGAGCAGACGUGGGAAACAGGGCGCGAAUCCCUACUCUCCGACCACGACGGGGAAACGUCGAACAAAGCGUGAUCGGGGAGGCAAAAGUUUGCGACGAGGGAGUCAUCGAGAAAGGCAAAAGGCGCGCAGAAGAGUAGACUUCUCUAAGGUCUUCAAACCAGUGGAUCUUGUUAGGGAUAGGCAAGAGUACCCGCAGUGUUAUUUGGAACGAGAAGCGACGAAAGUACACCACUCGCAAACAGUUUUAGAAGGAUGGCGCGUCUACACGCCGUCACGAUCGCUGCAGCGACCAUCCUCGUCGCCCUUGUUUCCACCUCGCAGGCCUCGAGUUUCAAGGUGACUGACAAGGUGUACCUCGAUAUAAUGAUCGACGAUCAUCCAGCCGGACGCAUAGUGAUCGGUUUGUUCGGUGAAGUAGCUCCAAGGACCGUAAAGAACUUCCUCACCAUAGCGUCGGAAGGAAUAAACGGGCGAAAAUAUUCUGGCUCGAAGUUUCAUCGAGUGAUAAAGAAGUUUAUGAUCCAAGGUGGGGAUGUGGACAAGGAGGAUGGAACGGGAUCCAUAAGUAUCUACGGUAAAUACUUCGACGACGAAAACUUUGAUAUCAAACAUACCGGCCCAGGUUUCGUGAGUAUGGCUAAUGCAGGAAAAAAUACAAACGGGUGUCAGUUCUUUAUAUCCACGGUCGCCACACCUUGGCUCGAUGGUCACCAUACUAUAUUUGGCAAGGUAAUCGAGGGACAGGACGUGGUUCACAAGAUAGAACAAACUAAAACAGAUUCAGACGACAAGCCCAUCAGCCCUGUGGUGAUCCUCGAGUCUGGUACCAUCUCGGUGCCGGAGCCGUUCUUCAUAUCAGACGACCCAUACGACAUUUGGAGUUGGAUCAGAGCAACGGCAAUACCACUCAGCUUCAGCUUCACCAUUCUUGGAUUUUUCCACUGGAUGAUGAAGCAGCUGGACAUUUGAGCGGGUGGAGUAAGCGAGUACCGUGGGUAUCUUGCCCAGUCGGCAUCUCCUAAACGAGCGACUUUUUCACUCCAUCGGAUAUAGCCGGUCUAAUUACACGCAGUGCUAUGAAGCCAUGGAAAUAAUAGCUGCCAGCGCGCUUACUGCUGAGGAACUGCUUAUGAAAGUAAACGAAAAAUUGUCACAAAACCUGCUACA
Molecule: RNA transcript, 1526 nt
Organism: Athalia rosae (coleseed sawfly)
Lineage: Eukaryota; Metazoa; Arthropoda; Insecta; Hymenoptera; Athaliidae
Gene name: peptidyl-prolyl cis-trans isomerase B-like
Exons: 7
Source: RefSeq, a predicted model, not a curated record